UGACAUGGAGCCAUCAUUCUGAUUACAGUUUCCUUAAUUUCAUGGAACACAGAAUCCCUUUUUACUUUCUGAUAGCAAAAUGGAAUUGUUUUGGUUUUUUAAUCAGAACUUUGGAUUUCUGUGGUGACAAUAAUGAAGUACUCCAGUGCAUAUCGUGUGAUGGCACCGGUGUAUCGUUUCAGCCCUAAAUCUGUUCCUAUGAUUUGGCUCUAGUUACAGUAGCAAAUGAUCUACAAAAGGUUGAUUUCCUCCUGAUCUGAGGACACAGUAUAGAAACCAGCAUAUAAUACAGGCAGGGGCUGUUUUAUGGAUGCUUUCUAAGGGACAUCAUCGAACACCUGGGGUUCACUUACUCUGUCUUCAGGUGGCAGAGUAGCUUUGUGGUUGAAGCAAUCACUCAUCACCCUGAAGGCCCAUGUACAAUUCCCGCCAUGGGUACAGUGUGUGAAGCCCACUGCUGGUGUCCCUGUCUUUGCUGGAAUAUUGCUGGAAGUGGUGUAAAACAAUGCUUGCUCUUAUUCCCUUCACACCCACCUGGCAUAUAAGGCUAUACGCUGUAACCUUUGGAAAAUAGUCUCACCUGUCUUAGACAAUCACAAUGAAUUUAAUUGUAAACUUUUGAAACAAUCAGAACUCUCCUUUUAUAAUGUGUCAUGGAUGUCAAAAUAACUUAAAUCUAAAAUCUACUAUCUCUAGCAAUCCAAACAUGAAACUUAUAACUGUUGUUCUCCACUUUUUACAGGGUCACUUCUGAAUAGCUAGUAGCAGGAAAGAACAAAACACUGCCUUUCAAAGGUUGUGCAUUGUAAUUUGAAUAUAUCUGCACUAACAAAAAAAAACGAGUUGACCGUCAUAUAAACUGUGGCGCUAUUGAUUGGCCUGUGGAAGAGUUCCUUCUCCUUCCCGAUCAUUGUCAUGGAGUGCUGUGAAAAGUUUGAUUGGUUGACUCCUUAAAUAAAGAAAUACAAUCCACAUGGCCUGUGGAAGAGUUCCUUCCCUUUGCCAUUCAAUUUCAAGGCUUGCUAUGAAAAGGUUGAUUGGUUUACUGUUUGCCAAAGACAUGGUUGUAUUUAAUAUGUAACUAACUUGUCUCAUCCCUGGGGUGGGUGUGAAGUGUAUAGUGAACAGCAGAGUUUGGAGAAUGAACACAUUCUAACACACAUGUAGUAGCCUAGAUUGGUGCCAGAAAGACUUACUUUUGACUUAUGACCUGGUUACUUAUACUGGAUAUCUAACAGGAGGCCUGCACAGUGUUCAGCUUACAGGAUGUUUUAUCAUUAUCAGUUUUCCAGUAUGAUUUUAUGUUCCAGCAAGACUAUAAAUUGUCCUUUCUGAAUGUUGAUGAUCAGCCUGUUGGAGCUGUGCAUGUCAUGGGAUCCAUCUGUAAAGAUGAUACUGAUGAAAUUACAACUUAUUUUGGGGUGGUAACUAAAACGUACAUUAGUCUGUGCAGAGUUGCAUCCCUUAGAUGUGCCAGGGUCCUAUGAUCAUUUUUUCAAAGUCCAGAUUCACCCUGAUUAUGAUGCUUGGUUGGUUAGCACCAUGCCUAUAGGUUUCGCCAAAAUGUUCAAUUGCUAAGAACUGCAUCACUUCCUCCUCUGUCAAACUGACACUCCUUGAUAUAACUAGGAAACUGUUCGAAGCAGAGACAUGCCUGUCUCACUCACUUACUCACUAGUGUAUGUGUGGAUGGGCGUCCCAGUGGUGUAAGUAAUCGCAACUCUUUGUGCAGAGUUGCCUCCCUUUACUGGCAGGAUCUGCAGAUGAUCCUGAUAAUGAUCUGGUAUGUCUGCACCAUAACCAUAUAUUUGGUUUCACCCAGGUGUUGGUGCCCAGAACCUGCCUCGCUGUGUUUUCUCCACUAAUCAGUCGCGGUGCAGCGAAAUAACGGAAAUACUGUUAGCAGCUGUGUCAAACUUCAGAUCUCCCUCCCUGUUCCUCUCAAAUCCAUUCAAGAUACUUGUAUAUGUUUACUCGAUAUUCAACAUUUCCUUGAUGUGGCUGAUGGUAAAGUCUCGGAAACAAACAUGCAUAAUUCUUGCAGUAAAGAAAAGUGAAAGUAGGAUGUUCAAAUGCAAAGAUACCAGUCAACAUUUCUAGAUGAAAAACACAUGCAUUUGGCACAGGAUUAUUAAACCCUUUGUUCAACUCAAUAAUAGGGCUGAACUGAAACCCGUUUCUUUUCUAUAUGUCUUUUUUGGCACUGAAUACUACAAGUACUGGUAUAUACAGUCAAACGCUGUUGUGUCAAACUUGAAGCGACCUAAGUAAAUACUUUGAGAAGUAAACACAACCGAAAAUAAUGAAUAAAGAAGGAAUAUGUCAGGCUUUUAGUUCGAGACAACCAUAAGUGCGACACACAACAGUGUUUGACUAUACUUUAAUGAUCAAUAUCAGUUAUUAUCCUAUCUUUGGUAAGAUUCAUAGUUUCAUGUUUUGCCAGUGAGCGUCACCUCAAUUUUGCUUAGGUUUAAAGGUAAAGCUUGUGCACUAUUGAACAAUGUUUCCAAACAUAGUUGCUUUUAAGUAGUUUUUGUGAAUUUUUGUGAAAGUAUAAUAAGUCAUCUCACAACUACACUCAAACAUGCACUUUAAAAGUUAAUUUUUGCAUUUAUUUAUUUUGAUUUUGAUAACCCCUGUCCCUACUUCUUGUUGUGAUGACCAAGACAAGUCUGUAAAACAUUAUAAAUUGGUCUUGGUUAAGUCAGUUGUGAUGACUCCAUACACUGUUCUGUCUGUCAUGUUGUGCUCUGUGUAACUUGCUGUCUAUAUCUUGACCACACCAUGUCUGUUUUUCUUGUUAAAUCUGUGCCAUUACUGACCAGUGGUCAUCAAUGGUCAUUUCAGAAUGGUCAACUUUAUCCAUCAUCCCAAAGUUAACGUAAAAUUAUAUUUGUUCUGCUGUGUUUGCCUUUUAAUUUAGAGGAAGUCAUCAAGCUAACAUACAAGUCACUGCUUAAUCCCAAGACAAGGUUUACAUCAUCCUUUUGUUUAGCAUCGCAAUGGCUUCCAGCCUUUAGGUUGUUGUCUCGCAUGUUCUGCAACAUUAUAUACUACUCUAAAAAGUUAAAGGACCAUCCGAUUCUUUUGCAUUACUGUAGUUAAGCUGUUAUGUCAUGACAUAAACUAUGCCAUGACAGAUUAACUAUAGAAGUGACUGUUUUUUACUUCUUUUGAGUCUUAUAUAACACUAGUGUUGUAUGGAAAAAGGGAAUUCCAUAGUGAAAUAUUGGGUCACAUGUUACUUUAGGUAAUGCAGCCUAAGGGUAUCGCUUGAUGGCUUCCUUUAAACCAGUCAACUGUGGUUCCACAGUAUUGGAAAGCAAUACAAUGUUUUUUGUAUCCGCCUCUACACUCAAUAUCUUAGAACGUAAAAUAGAUCAAUUUGUUUCCAGUGGUAUGUGGUGUUUUGGAGGAAAAUUAUUGUUUAUUUCUUGUUGUCAGACCUUAUUAAACUGCCUUAAGCAGCCAGAUGCAUCAUCUUCCGACUGAUAUUGUUCCAGUUGCGUAUCAUCACAUAAAUAUAUUCAUGUGUAUAUGUAUUUUAAUAAACCCAGAUUAUCAUAUUAAA
This is a long non-coding RNA of Haliotis rufescens (red abalone), 3571 nucleotides long. RefSeq lists it as uncharacterized. The record is from RefSeq and is a predicted model, not a curated record. The transcript is spliced from 2 exons. NCBI's taxonomy places the organism in Eukaryota, Metazoa, Mollusca, Gastropoda, Lepetellida, Haliotidae.